AGGAAGACCAAAAUGAUCUUUUGUACUGCAAGGUGCUAACACUUGAUAUAGAUGAAAAUCUACAUAAACCAGCAUAUCUCUCUGCAACAGGAGUUCCAGAAGCUGGAAAACCAGACUGUGACUAUACUGGCUUCCUUCAUUGUGAGGCCUGGAUCUAAAGGACCUGAACAGUGAAAGAUAAGACAUCUAUUUAGAGGCAACAUUGAAGUUACAGAGAGAGAGAGAGGCAGAGACACAGGCAGAGGGAG
Canis lupus familiaris (dog) is the source of this 248-nucleotide long non-coding RNA. RefSeq lists it as uncharacterized. The record is from RefSeq and is a predicted model, not a curated record. Lineage: Eukaryota; Metazoa; Chordata; Mammalia; Carnivora; Canidae. The transcript is spliced from 3 exons.